This 1342-nucleotide ribosomal RNA is filed under the name Timema californicum (California timema). RNAcentral describes it as "large subunit ribosomal RNA". The stretch from base 903 to 1267 matches the Rfam family "Bacterial large subunit ribosomal RNA", at positions 2075 to 2645 of the family's 2925-position model. The record is from RNAcentral. Lineage: Eukaryota; Metazoa; Arthropoda; Insecta; Phasmatodea; Timematidae.
AUGGAAUUGAUUUAAUUUUUAUUAAGUAUUUAAUUAAAUAUCUAAGAAAUAUCUUUAAAAUGGUUUUAGUAUAAUUUUUAUUGAAAUAAUAAUUUGAUUAAUAGUUAAUUAUGUUGUGGAAUAUGAUUUGAAAUAUUUUGAUAAUUUUUUUGAUUAUAAGCAAAUUUAAUUAGUUGUACCUUUUGUAUCAGGGUGGAUUUAUAUAUUAAUAAUAAUUUUAUUUAUCUCGAUUUAAUAAGAGUUAAUAUUAUAUGACUUUUAAUGUUUAAUCAUUAUUUUUAAUUUAAUAUUAGAGGUGAUAAACCAUUCGUUUAUUAAGGUAUCUAGUUUUUUAAGAAAUGAAUUUAAUUCAGUUAAUUUAUUUUAAUAAUUUGAUUUGAUAAUUUAUUAUUAUUAAUUAAUAAAUUGUAAAGGGUUUAGCUUUUACUAUUAAUUAUAAUUUUAUUUAAUUUUAAUAUUUUAUAAGCUUGAAAUUGGCUAAUAUAAUGAAGGAUGUUAUAAUUUAUUAUUGAUUUUAUAUAAUUUUUAUGUAUUUAAUUUUAUAUUAAAAUUAAAUUUUCAAUUUUAAUUAAUUUGAAUUAGUGAUUCAAUUAGUAUAAUAUUGGUGUAUAAAUUAAUGUUUAAGGUAAGUUUAAUAAAGGAACUAGGCAAAUACAUAUAUUUAUAUAUAUAUAAUUUACUCGCCUGUUUAACAAAAACAUGUCUUCAUGAUCAUAAUUAUAUGAAGUCGUACCUGCCCAAUGAUAUAAUUUAAUGGCCGCGGUAUUUUGACCGUGCAAAGGUAGCAUAAUAAAUUGUCUAUUAAAUGUGGACUAGAAUGAAAGGUUUGACGAGGUAUAAACUGUCUCUUUUGUAUUUAUAUUAGAACUUGAAUUUUAAGUUAAAAUGCUUUAAAUUUUAUUGUAGGACGAGAAGACCCUAUAGAGUUUUAUGUUAAUAGGUUUAAUUUAUAUUAGGAUUUUUUAAUUACAUUAAUUUUAUACACAUUUUGUUGGGGUGACAGGAAGAUUAUUAUAACUCUUUUUUUUUAUUUACAUUAAUUAGUGAUUUUUAGUUGAUCCAGAUAUUCUGAUUAUAAGAUUAAAUUACCUUAGGGAUAACAGCGUAAUAUUUUUUGAGAGUUCUUAUCGACAAGAAAGAUUGCGACCUCGAUGUUGGAUUAAGGUUAAAUUUUGGUGCAGAAGCUUAAAAUUUAGGUCUGUUCGACCUUUAAAUCCUUACAUGAUCUGAGUUCAGACCGGUGUAAACCAGGUCGGUUUCUAUCCUCUUUUUAUUUUCUUAUUUUAGUACGAAAGGACCAAAUUAGAUCAUUAAAUGUUUAUUAUCUGAUUAAAAUUAAUUU